UCCCUGGUAGUCUAAUGGUUAAGAUUCUAGGCUUUCACUGAGGUGGCCCCAGGUUCGAUUCCUGGUUGGGAAA
This 73-nucleotide transfer RNA is filed under the name Bos taurus (domestic cattle). It matches the Rfam family "tRNA". Rfam says of the family: Transfer RNA (tRNA) molecules are approximately 80 nucleotides in length. Their secondary structure includes four short double-helical elements and three loops (D, anti-codon, and T loops). Further hydrogen bonds mediate the characteristic L-shaped molecular structure. tRNAs have two regions of fundamental functional importance: the anti-codon, which is responsible for specific mRNA codon recognition, and the 3' end, to which the tRNAs corresponding amino acid is attached (by aminoacyl-tRNA synthetases). tRNAs cope with the degeneracy of the genetic code in two manners: having more than one tRNA (with a specific anti-codon) for a particular amino acid; and 'wobble' base-pairing, i.e. permitting non-standard base-pairing at the 3rd anti-codon position. The record is from Rfam by way of RNAcentral. RNAcentral also lists the same sequence under 2 other names. Lineage: Eukaryota; Metazoa; Chordata; Mammalia; Artiodactyla; Bovidae.